Molecule: ribosomal RNA, 253 nt
Filed under: uncultured bacterium
Lineage: Bacteria
Description: partial 16S ribosomal RNA
Rfam family: Bacterial small subunit ribosomal RNA
Source: RNAcentral
UACAGAGGGUGCAAGCGUUAAUCGGAAUUACUGGGCGUAAAGGGCGCGUAGGUGGUUGAUUAAGUCAGAUGUGAAAUCCCUGGGCUUAACCUAGGAAUUGCAUUUGAUACUGGUCGGCUAGAGUACAGAAGAGGGAAGUGGAAUUUCCGGUGUAGCGGUGAAAUGCGUAGAUAUCGGAAGGAACAUCAGUGGCGAAGGCGACUUCCUGGUCUGUUACUGACACUGAGGCGCGAAAGCGUGGGGAGCAAACAGG